GACGAACUUUGGCGGCGUGCUUAACACAUGCAAGUCGAACGGAAAGGCCCUGCUUUUGUGGGGUGCUCGAGUGGCGAACGGGUGAGUAACACGUGAGUAACCUGCCCUUGACUUUGGGAUAACUUCAGGAAACUGGGGCUAAUACCGGAUAGGAGCUCCUGCUGCAUGGUGGGGGUUGGAAAGUUUCGGCGGUUGGGGAUGGACUCGUGGCUUAUCAGCUUGUUGGUGGGGUAGUGGCUUACCAAGGCUUUGACGGGUAGCCGGCCUGAGAGGGUGACCGGCCACAUUGGGACUGAGAUACGGCCCAGACUCCUACGGGAGGCAGCAGUGGGGAAUAUUGCACAAUGGGCGGAAGCCUGAUGCAGCAACGCCGCGUGCGGGAUGACGGCCUUCGGGUUGUAAACCGCUUUCGCCUGUGACGAAGCGUGAGUGACGGUAAUGGGUAAAGAAGCACCGGCUAACUACGUGCCAGCAGCCGCGGUGAUACGUAGGGUGCGAGCGUUGUCCGGAUUUAUUGGGCGUAAGGGGCUCGUAGGUGGUUGAUCGCGUCGGAAGUGUAAUCUUGGGGCUUAACCCUGAGCGUGCUUUCGAUACGGGUUGACUUGAGGAAGGUAGGGGAGAAUGGAAUUCCUGGUGGAGCGGUGGAAUGCGCAGAUAUCAGGAGGAACACCAGUGGCGAAGGCGGUUCUCUGGGCCUUUCCUGACGCUGAGGAGCGAAAGCGUGGGGAGCGAACAGGCUUAGAUACCCUGGUAGUCCACGCUGUAAACGGUGGGUACUAGGUGUGGGGUCCAUUCCACGGGUUCCGUGCCGUAGCUAACGCUUUAAGUACCCCGCCUGGGGAGUACGGCCGCAAGGCUAAAACUCAAAGGAAUUGACGGGGCCCCGCACAAGCGGCGGAGCAUGCGGAUUAAUUCGAUGCAACGCGUAGAACCUUACCUGGGUUUGACAUGGAUCGGGAGUGCUCAGAGAUGGGUGUGCCUCUUUUGGGGUCGGUUCACAGGUGGUGCAUGGCUGUCGUCAGCUCGUGUCGUGAGAUGUUGGGUUAAGUCCCGCAACGAGCGCAACCCUUGUUCACUGUUGCCAGCACGUUAUGGUGGGGACUCAGUGGAGACCGCCGGGGUCAACUCGGAGGAAGGUGGGGAUGACGUCAAGUCAUCAUGCCCCCUAUGUCCAGGGCUUCACGCAUGCUACAAUGGCUGGUACAGAGAGUGGCGAGCCUGUGAGGGUGAGCGAAUCUCGGAAAGCCGGUCUCAGUUCGGAUUGGGGUCUGCAACUCGACCUCAUGAAGUCGGAGUCGCUAGUAACCGCAAAACAGCAACGCUGCGGUGAAUACGUUCCCGGGGC
This 1345-nucleotide ribosomal RNA is filed under the name uncultured bacterium. Its description in RNAcentral is "partial 16S ribosomal RNA". It matches the Rfam family "Bacterial small subunit ribosomal RNA", at positions 28 to 1380 of the family's 1533-position model. The record is from RNAcentral.